RNAcentral lists this long non-coding RNA (398 nucleotides) under Musa acuminata (dwarf banana). RNAcentral describes it as "long non-coding RNA (MACU_LNC000902)". The record is from RNAcentral. Lineage: Eukaryota; Viridiplantae; Streptophyta; Magnoliopsida; Zingiberales; Musaceae.
CACUUCUGGUCAUUCUCAGCUCCCACCCGCCUCCUCGCAUGGAGAUCGUCUACGUCUCCGGAUCGACAUCGAGCGCUUCCUCUGACGCCUCCUUGCAUGGAGAUCGUCUACGUCUACGGAUCGACAUCGAGCGCUUCCUCUGAAUCGCCCGGCAAUGGCCUACUGAGCAGCGGCAACAGCUGGCUUGUCUUUGAGCGCAUGAUUUCGUCGCUGAUUCCGGCGACGAGGUGAUUGCCGUCCGUCUGCGUAGGGCAACGUCGAAUCUUUGGCACUUGUCAACCUCUGGCAUCCGUCAGCGACUUUGAGAUAACUUUGCUUAGAGAGGCAUGCAAUUUAUUUUGCCUCGUUUGUUCUGUCUUCGUUGUUCCAGUUUUAGAGAAAGCAGGAGAACACUGAAU